Molecule: long non-coding RNA, 125 nt
Filed under: Anas platyrhynchos platyrhynchos (common mallard)
Lineage: Eukaryota; Metazoa; Chordata; Aves; Anseriformes; Anatidae
Description: lncRNA (ENSAPLG00000019367.1)
Source: RNAcentral
UUCCCACAUCUGGAGCUUUCUUUCAAGGCUGAUGUGAUCUUUCAUCUGGACAAGAAAGGCUUUGAUCCAAACUCUAAGAUCCCCCUAUCUCCCAGUUAAUUGGUGUUAGUGAGGUUCAUCUCUGG